AUUUACAUCUACACAACUCUGGGCCUGGCUGGUACUUAGAAAGGAGACCACACUGUAAUCCUAGGUGCUGUAGAUA
Molecule: ribosomal RNA, 76 nt
Filed under: Crocodylus porosus (Australian saltwater crocodile)
Lineage: Eukaryota; Metazoa; Chordata; Crocodylia; Crocodylidae
Source: RNAcentral